This is a long non-coding RNA of Mus musculus (house mouse), 2007 nucleotides long. RefSeq annotates it as predicted gene 9922. NCBI's taxonomy places the organism in Eukaryota, Metazoa, Chordata, Mammalia, Rodentia, Muridae. The transcript has 2 exons. The record is from RefSeq and is marked validated.
AGUCCCGGGCUCUCUCGGGAGGCGGCGCCCCUUCUGCCUGCGGCCUGACAUACCAGGAAUAGCUGCACACAAUUGCACCUUUCCGGGCCAAGAAACUUCCCCCGCGGGGACGCGGAGCCACCAGGCCUCCACGCCACUACCCUCCGGCUCCACGGAGCUCGCUGACCGGUCCCAGAUGCUGCGCGGUCCCCGCUACUGCCCCGGCUUCCGGCCGCAGGGUACGGUGAACCGAAGGAACUUGGCUUUUCUCCCACCUCUCCUGCCUGCUUGGCCCAGUUCUGGACAUUGGCCCGCCCUCCCCCGGAGAAUCAAAACCUGUACCCUUCGUGGUGUGGCAAAGGUGACUGGUUAUUCAGAGUGAGCAGAGAGUUUGAGUAAGUGCUCGGGGCCUGGCCAGCAAAGUGCACAGGUGGUCCAAUGCCCCGCGAUCUCUCCAAGGAAACUCUGGGGACUCUCUGGGCUCCAACCAGGGUACUUGACCUAUGGAAGAAGAUAAGAUCAGCCCUUCUUUUCUGGAGGAGACGCAACAUUUCAUUCUUUUUUUCUUUUCUUUUUUUUUUCUUUUUUUUCUUUGUGUGUGUGUGUGUGUGUGUGUGUGAUUAAAGAAAUUUUCAAACGUAUGGCAGAGAAUCUUGUCUACGGAAACAGCCUAGCUUCUGUUUAAUGAUCAUUAGCACUUGGGCUUAUCUCACUAUAGAGAGGUUUAAAGUAGGAUACAUUUCAGCUCUAAAUAUCCCAGGAUACAGUUCAUCUUUAACGAACACUAUCCUGCAAUAUCAUAGACCAUUUUCACAUGUAACUAAAUAAAGCCAAUAAAAUUGCUAAUCAACCGGGCUCGGAUUUCCCUAGGAUGCCAAAGCGUCCUUUGCAGCUGACUUACCUAGACCUCGAGGCAAUCAGAGAAUCUGCAUUCCGUUUGAUUGCGGAUUUUUUACCCUAGAAGGGCCUCCUCCUCAAGCCCCUUCUUCCUUUUUUGGAAUGGCAUCGUGUGUUGAAAGAAACAAGUUGCCUUCUGGAUUUGUCUUAUGGCUUCUUUGUGGUGUCUUCACCACAUUUCUCUCCCAGUACUUCCUGCCUCCUGGAAGUUAGAUCUAAAGGCUGGGUUGGAACCCACUUGCUCUUGUGAAUGAAGACCAUCUGGAUUGGGGUGAUGGUUUCUGUUUAUCCCGAAGCCUUAUUUUUUUUUUUUUUUAAUUGGCCUGCUGUAAUCACUGGGUCUGCUUAGAAGAGCUGGCUGACAAACUUCAGGGAUUAUUCUUGCUAUGGCAGGAGGCCACUGACUGGACCAUCCCUCUCUGCCUGCUGCCUACACUCUUAUUAGGCCAAACCCUAGAGGAGAGUGGGAUGGUUAAAGAAAACAGGAAGAUGUUUCUCUCCUUUUCUCUAUCACAAAACUGCUGUCUUUGGCAAACAUGAAGUAAAAACUUAAUAUAACGCGAAAUGGUUUUAUUUAAGGGAGCGAGGGAAGGGUUGAUGUUUUGAGGCAAGCCCUCAUUAGUGUAGGCUAUAAUGGCCUGGAAUUCAUGCCAAUCCCCAUACCUUGGUUGGCCAGUCCAGUGCUGAAAUUACAAGUGUGAGCUACCACCCUGAUAAAGACACAAAAUAUCAUACUGAAAUACAUAGAAUACCAGAGCUUCAGUAUUGCCAGUGCAGCGGGACAGGAAGUUCUUAGGAUUCCUAUAUAAGCACAUGCUAUCUGAAAUGCCUCCUGUGGUCACAAGUGGUUUGAACAAGAAAUGCCCACCCUAGACACAAGUAUGUGAACACUUGGUCCCCAGCUGUUUGGAGGGGCUAUAGAACCUUUAGGAAGUGCAGGCUUGCUGGAGAAGUAUGUCGCUGGGAGCUGGGUUUGGGUGUUUACAGCUUCACCUUGCUUCCAGCUUGUGCUCUCUCUCUCUCUCUCUCUCUCUCUCUCUCUCUCUGUCUCUCUGUCUUCUGGGUGUGGUUAAAAAGCCUCCCUAGCUGUUAUGGACCCUGAGGCAAAAUAAACUAUCAUGAGUUGCUUUA